RNAcentral lists this ribosomal RNA (484 nucleotides) under uncultured bacterium. RNAcentral describes it as "partial 16S ribosomal RNA". It matches the Rfam family "Bacterial small subunit ribosomal RNA", at positions 30 to 507 of the family's 1533-position model. The record is from RNAcentral.
UGAACGCUGGCGGCAUGCCUUACACAUGCAAGUCGCACGGCAGCACGGGUGCUUGCACCUGGUGGCGAGUGGCGAACGGGUGAGUAAUACAUCGGAACAUGUCCUGUAGUGGGGGAUAGCCCGGCGAAAGCCGGAUUAAUACCGCAUACGAUCUACGGAUGAAAGCGGGGGACCUUCGGGCCUCGCGCUAUAGGGUUGGCCGAUGGCUGAUUAGCUAGUUGGUGGGGUAAAGGCCUACCAAGGCGACGAUCAGUAGCUGGUCUGAGAGGACGACCAGCCACACUGGGACUGAGACACGGCCCAGACUCCUACGGGAGGCAGCAGUGGGGAAUUUUGGACAAUGGGCGAAAGCCUGAUCCAGCAAUGCCGCGUGUGUGAAGAAGGCCUUCGGGUUGUAAAGCACUUUUGUCCGGAAAGAAAUCCUUGGCCCUAAUACGGUCGGGGGAUGACGGUACCGGAAGAAUAAGCACCGGCUAACUACGUG